Long non-coding RNA from Callorhinus ursinus (northern fur seal), 1309 nucleotides. RefSeq lists it as uncharacterized. The record is from RefSeq and is a predicted model, not a curated record. Lineage: Eukaryota; Metazoa; Chordata; Mammalia; Carnivora; Otariidae.
CCUCCUCCGCCAGCCGCGUCCUCCCGGGCUCGGUGAAGAACUGUUCCUGGAGGAGCCGCGGGACGCCGAAACCAGCCAAUAGGAAGAAGCGAGACGCGGAGAUUGGCACUGUGGAUGGGAAGCUCCUCAUGUGGAAAUGUAUCCAGGCCCCAAAGGUAGGAACGGGGAAGGACUGGCAGGCAAAGCAAGGCAUUCUCGGCAGAAUGCGGAGCACAAAUAAAGAUUUGAGGUGACCAGCUUUAGUAACGAGGAGUACACACUGCGAAGUCACAUGAAAUGGACAUGGAAUCAGAAGGAAGAGCUAGAUUGAGGUAAGAAGCAAACUGCUGUGAACCAGAAUUGUAAUGCUGGGAAUUAUCUGACUCCUGCAGCCCUCUCUUCUUUCUCUGCCCUGGUGAAUGAUGGCUGAGAUUUGAAAUUUAAGGCAUGUAAAACAUGGUAAACAUCAAUUUGUUGACUUGGCCAUUGAACCGGACAUCUUGCCUUCUUGCAGGUAAAACUAAAGAUCACAAGUUCUAGAUUUUAUUUAUAAGGGCAAAGCAUUGAAGUGUAUCCACUUAAGUUGCUUCUCGAUUCAGGGAAGUCUUUUUUCCUUUAAACUAUUCUUCUAGCUUUGGGGCUGGGUGCAAGAGCAAAGCAAAACAGCAACCAAAAAGCAAAGGACUCUCCAACAAUAGAACACCUGAGCUGCAAAGAUGGACGACCUGUAGAACAGAGUUGACAUGAUGUGAUCAGUCAGUUCCCAGAUGUGAAGGAAAGGAAUCCUCUGCAGCGGACUAAGGAAGGCCAGUUACAAUGCAGGGAAACUGAGAACUGGUAGGAACAGGUGGAGAAACUUACAGGAGAAGAGAGAAAAACUGGACAUAAAAGUAUAAGAAACAGAAAACACAGGAAACUUCAGCGUUGAUGGUGACCCAUUACACUGCUGGCCCCCAGUGAUCACAUCUCCCUGUAUUUGCCCUUGUGUAGUCCUCGCUCUUUGAAUUGGAAUAGGGCCCGUGACUCAUUCUGACUGACUAGAAGUGGUGGAGUGAUGCUGUACACCUUCUUAUGUCUAUAUAGGAAGACUUAAGAAGUUCUGCUUCUGGGCUCUGAGUCCCGAUCUGCUUUAUAAGGAUUCUGUUACUCUGCUGGCACUUUGUCGAGAGGCCAUGGGAGAAAAGCCCAGCUAUUCAGUGCCCAGCCAAGCCCAGGCCCCUGCUGACCGAAAUCCAUAGAGCGACCAUUGGCAAGGUCAACAGAAGAGUCAUCUGGCUGAGCCCGGCCCAGAUUACAGAAUUGUGAGCAAAUAAAAUGGCCAUUGUUUUAA